AUAUCUUUUUAUCUAGMAUACUAAAGAAAAAUCCUUUAMUGYUAUAGUAAAUUAGUACUGUGAAGGAAUUGANNNNNNNNNNNNNNNNNNNNNNNNNNNNNNNNUUUAAGUAUGAUUUAUUUUCAGUACCUUUUGUAUCAGGGUUAAUCUAAUAUAUAUAUUUAUUUUUGUUUCUCGAUUUCAGAAGAGCUAAUUUUUUAUUUUGUUUAAUGUAAUAUAAUUAUCAAUAAUAUAAAUUAGAAAAGAUAUUUUAUUCGGUUUUGAAGGUAUCUAGUUUUUUAAGAGAAAAAUUUAAUUUACCUUUUUUACUUAAUUUGUUUAUUUUGGAAUAGAUUAUAUAAUAAAUGUGUAAAUUAUAGGGGAUAAGCUCUAUAUUUUUCUAUAAAAAGUUCUUUAUAAUAAAUUAGAGUAGGUUUAAAAAUAUCCAUCUUUAUAGAGUAUGUUAUAAUUUAUAUUUAUAAUUAUUUGAUNNNNNNNUUUUUUUUUAGUAGWUUAUUAAAAUACUAAAAUUAAUUUAAUAUUUUUGGGAAUAAUGAUUAAAUUAGUAUAAUAUUUUGUUUAUGGUUUUAAUGAUUYUAUAAUAAAUUAAGGAACUCGGCAAAUUUAGUUCUCGCCUGUUUAACAAAAACAUGUCCUUUUGGUUUUAUUUUAAGGUCUGGCCUGCCCAGUGAAUAUUUAACGGCCGCGGUAUAUUGACCGUGCAAAGGUAGCAUAAUCAUUAGUCUCUUAAUAGGAGGCUGGAAUGAAAGGUUUAACGAGGAACUGACUGUCUCAAUUUAUUUGUAUUAAAAUUUAAUUUUUUGGUUAAAAAGCUAAAAUUUUAUUGGAAGACGAGAAGACCCUAUAGAUCUUUAUAUAGUUUUGUUUAAAUGAUUUUAUAUUAAUGCAUUUAAUUUUUGCUGUAUUUUGUUGGGGUGACAAAAAUAUAAGAUUAACUUUUUUAUUUAAUUAACAUUGAUUUAUGAUUAUUAGAUCCAUUAUUAUUGAUUGUUAGAUUAAGUUACCUUAGGGAUAACAGCGUAAUCCUCUUCCAGAGUUCAUAUUUACAAGAGGGCUUGCGACCUCGAUGUUGGAUUAAGAUAAUAAUUAGGUGUAGCUGCUUAAUUUAUAGGUCUGUUCGACCUUUAAAUUCUUACAU
Molecule: ribosomal RNA, 1138 nt
Filed under: Perithemis lais
Lineage: Eukaryota; Metazoa; Arthropoda; Insecta; Odonata; Libellulidae
Description: partial 16S ribosomal RNA
Source: RNAcentral